Molecule: ribosomal RNA, 256 nt
Filed under: uncultured archaeon
Lineage: Archaea
Description: partial 16S ribosomal RNA
Rfam family: Bacterial small subunit ribosomal RNA
Source: RNAcentral
UAAUACAGAGGUCUCAAGCGUUGUUCGGAUUCAUUGGGCGUAAAGGGUGCGUAGGCGGCGAUCUAAGUCUGGUGUGAAAGCUCGGGGCUCAACCCCGAAAUUGCACUGGAUACUGGGUUGCUAGAGGGCUGUAGAGGAGAUUGGAAUUCACGGUGUAGCAGUGAAAUGCGUAGAUAUCGUGAGGAAGACCAGUGGCGAAGGCGAAUCUCUGGGCAGUUCCUGACGCUGAGGCACGAAGGCUAGGGGAGCAAACGGG